GUUUUGAUAAAUCUCCCCCUAUAGACCUUGGCGUCCCUAAGAAUUAAUUGAGUCAUAAACGUCCCUAAGAGUUGAGUCAUAAUCAGAUAUCAGAAGAAGAGAUCUCAAGGUAGUUAUUAUUUCAUGGAUAGAUGGGUCUAUGGAAAGAAGCUAAUACCUCAGAAUACAUUUCUUGGCCACCAAAUAGCACAAAAUGAAGAAUUUUCACCCCAAUUUCCUCAGGAGAACAUCAGUAUCCGCAGAGGUAGAAAAGGAGCACAGCAAAGGUUCCAGUGUGUUCGGGCCCAUGCACAUUAGAAAAUAUCAACCUGGAAUUAAACCAGGGUGGACACUGGGGUGCUGCCUAAAUCAGAAGGCGUGAGGACCACUUGGACAUGCACCAUUUCCAACUGCGGAAACUCUGCAGUGUGCAGAGAAACUCUACAGUGCAGCAGAAUAAGAAUGUUAUAAUUAACCAAGAUGAAGAAUUCAGAAAAUUUUGAAGCCCAUUUAACUGAAGAACUGUGGGGUAAUUUAUAUCUGCAGUGGUGACCCGCAGACCCCUGUAAUUGGCAGAAACCAGAUAAGAGCAGCAAGGACUGGGAGCUUUUGGAACGGCAGUGGAUCAGUGCAGACGAGUAUGUUUUUGUUUUUUUACAGCAUGGGUAUAUGAUCUUAUGUUAAAAAAAGAGCCUUGGUAUUUAAAUAAAUUAAAAAAAAUAGAUAAAACUAGAGAAUGAAAACAAAAAGAACUCAAAUUUCGGACCAAAUAACCCAGCAUUAAUUAAAAAAAAUCAAUCCGUAGCGCUAAAAAAGAGUCUCAGCCUAAGUCUCUCUAUGGUAACAGU
Long non-coding RNA from Hyla sarda, 827 nucleotides. RefSeq lists it as uncharacterized. The transcript has 3 exons. NCBI's taxonomy places the organism in Eukaryota, Metazoa, Chordata, Amphibia, Anura, Hylidae. The record is from RefSeq and is a predicted model, not a curated record.